RNAcentral lists this ribosomal RNA (396 nucleotides) under uncultured bacterium. Its description in RNAcentral is "partial 16S ribosomal RNA". It matches the Rfam family "Bacterial small subunit ribosomal RNA", at positions 338 to 731 of the family's 1533-position model. The record is from RNAcentral.
CCUACGGGAGGCAGCAGUGAGGAAUAUUGGUCAAUGGCCGUAAGGCUGAACCAGCCAAGUCGCGUGAAGGAAGAAGGAUCUAUGGUUUGUAAACUUCUUUUAUAGGGGAAUAAAGGUAUCCACGUGUGGAUAUUUGCAUGUACCCUAUGAAUAAGCAUCGGCUAACUCCGUGCCAGCAGCCGCGGUAAUACGGAGGAUGCGAGCGUUAUCCGGAUUUAUUGGGUUUAAAGGGUGCGUAGGUUGUUUUUUAAGUCAGCGGUGAAAGUUUGUGGCCAAACCAUAAAAUUGCCGUGGAAACUGGAAGAAGUGAGUGUGUUUGAGGUGGGGGGAAUGGGUGGUGUGGCGGUGAAAUGCAUAGAUAUCACGCAGAACUCCGAGUGCGAAGGAAGCUUACUA